CCUUCAGCACCCUUCCACCCUUUUCUCCCGCUCCACAUCCCUGAAACCUUACCAGCCAGCGUCAGCGACAAUGGUCAGUGCAGAGAGAUGAAGAGGGUAAAUACAUCACGUUUCAUUGCAAUUUUGGCUAUGCCAUCGAAAAAUUACGGGGGCUGAGAACUUCGAGGAAAAUAAUCUAGGGAGUGAAGAUGGUUAAUGAGUAAUCACAAAUUCUUAUCACCUAACGCACAAGUUGAUCAGAGCGGUCCAGCUGUCUUGGCAUAACCUAUUUCAUUCAUUUCCAUUAUGACCGCACAUUUACUGUGGGCUAUGUCGCAGCGGGAGGAUAUUUGAAAAGGGCAGAGGGAGGUAGGUUGCUAAGAGAGAGAGAGAUAGAGAGACUUGGCAGCACAUUAUUAUAAUGAUGGUGAGUGACUGAUCCACACUUGACGCUGGCGACUUAAUUUGGAACUACAAGCAAGGGCGAUUUUGUCGUUUCGUCUGCUUCUGGAGGGCAUCGGGACGAACCUACAAAUUGCCUGAACAACGCUCUGAGAGGCGCACAAAAGAAAGCCUGGGAGAAAAAGACGACUGGUGUAAAGGCGACUGUCAGAGACGGAAGCUUCCGCGGAGCACCAAACCACAGGUGUGACUGGAGAGAGAUUUCAGCCACUCUGAUCAACACAGAGAGGGAGCUGUCUCUACUGACGUCAGAACCGGACGACCUAAAAGAAACUUUCACAAAAGUUUCAAGAACGCUACCCUCAAACAAGCAAGGCUGAAGAUAUCAAGUCUUUGAAGUGGACUGAGUAUCAUGUCUUGAGAUUGGCCUCAGUUUGUUUUUAGAAUAUCAACCCUAAUGGUUGACGCGGCCAGGGUUUAAUGCUCCCAAUGCUGUUCAUUCAAGAACACAUUUCUGUCUUCGUAGAAGAUUAAAGUACUUGGUGGGAUUAAUUUUUGGUAAAGGAACUGAGGUAUAGAAUGGGGCUACAGGAUCUUACCCGAGGCUAAACCCUGAUAUAGCAACCCACUUCUUAUCUUUUUAGAUCAGUCAAAAAUAUAUAUAUAUAUUCCAGCCCAUUCCGCCCAGCUUUGAGAGGGAAAUGGACAAGAUGAUGUGGACUCAGCUGAGAAUGUGGAGUCUCAGUUCCGAUCUGGAUAUGGCUUUGAGAUCAGACAUUCCGGGAAUCAACGCGAGGGCUCUACUGGGAUAGAGCGCAUCCUGGUACUCACACAGCCAGCAGCAUUUUCUCUGUGAUUCUUUUCAUGGAAAAAUUCAAGCCCACACAAAUGCCUAAGGCAAGUGUACAGUAGGGCUGC
RNAcentral lists this long non-coding RNA (1299 nucleotides) under Salmo trutta (river trout). RNAcentral describes it as "lncRNA (ENSSTUG00000038096.1)". The record is from RNAcentral. Lineage: Eukaryota; Metazoa; Chordata; Actinopteri; Salmoniformes; Salmonidae.